RNAcentral lists this ribosomal RNA (1441 nucleotides) under Bacillus amyloliquefaciens. RNAcentral describes it as "bacterial SSU rRNA". It matches the Rfam family "Bacterial small subunit ribosomal RNA". Lineage: Bacteria; Bacillati; Bacillota; Bacilli; Caryophanales; Bacillaceae. The record is from RNAcentral.
UUAAUACCAUUGGCAAGUCGAGCGGACAGAUGGGAGCUUGCUCCCUGAUGUUAGCGGCGGACGGGUGAGUAACACGUGGGUAACCUGCCUGUAAGACUGGGAUAACUCCGGGAAACCGGGGCUAAUACCGGAUGGUUGUUUGAACCGCAUGGUUCAGACAUAAAAGGUGGCUUCGGCUACCACUUACAGAUGGACCCGCGGCGCAUUAGCUAGUUGGUGAGGUAACGGCUCACCAAGGCGACGAUGCGUAGCCGACCUGAGAGGGUGAUCGGCCACACUGGGACUGAGACACGGCCCAGACUCCUACGGGAGGCAGCAGUAGGGAAUCUUCCGCAAUGGACGAAAGUCUGACGGAGCAACGCCGCGUGAGUGAUGAAGGUUUUCGGAUCGUAAAGCUCUGUUGUUAGGGAAGAACAAGUGCCGUUCAAAUAGGGCGGCACCUUGACGGUACCUAACCAGAAAGCCACGGCUAACUACGUGCCAGCAGCCGCGGUAAUACGUAGGUGGCAAGCGUUGUCCGGAAUUAUUGGGCGUAAAGGGCUCGCAGGCGGUUUCUUAAGUCUGAUGUGAAAGCCCCCGGCUCAACCGGGGAGGGUCAUUGGAAACUGGGGAACUUGAGUGCAGAAGAGGAGAGUGGAAUUCCACGUGUAGCGGUGAAAUGCGUAGAGAUGUGGAGGAACACCAGUGGCGAAGGCGACUCUCUGGUCUGUAACUGACGCUGAGGAGCGAAAGCGUGGGGAGCGAACAGGAUUAGAUACCCUGGUAGUCCACGCCGUAAACGAUGAGUGCUAAGUGUUAGGGGGUUUCCGCCCCUUAGUGCUGCAGCUAACGCAUUAAGCACUCCGCCUGGGGAGUACGGUCGCAAGACUGAAACUCAAAGGAAUUUGACGGGGGCCCGCACAAGCGGUGGAGCAUGGUGGUUUAAUUCGAAGCAACGCGGAAGAACCUUACCAGGUCUUGACAUCCUCUGACAAUCCUAGAGAUAGGACGUCCCCUUCGGGGGCAGAGUGACAAGUGGUGCAUGGUUGUCGUCAGCUCGUGUCGUGAGAUGUUGGGGUAAGUCCCGCAACGAGCGCAACCCUUGAUCUUAGUUGCCAGCAUUCAGUUGGGCACUCUAAGGUGACUGCCGGUGACAAACCGGAGGAAGGUGGGGAUGACGUCAAAUCAUCAUGCCCCUUAUGACCUGGGCUACACACGUGCUACAAUGGACAGAACAAAGGGCAGCGAAACCGCGAGGUUAAGCCAAUCCCACAAAUCUGUUCUCAGUUCGGAUCGCAGUCUGCAACUCGACUGCGUGAAGCUGGAAUCGCUAGUAAUCGCGGAUCAGCAUGCCGCGGUGAAUACGUUCCCGGGCCUUGUACACACCGCCCGUCACACCACGAGAGUUUGUAACACCCGAAGUCGGUGAGGUAACCUUUAUGGAGCCAGCCGCCCGAAGGUG